RNAcentral lists this ribosomal RNA (2787 nucleotides) under Escherichia coli. RNAcentral's name for it is "bacterial LSU rRNA". It matches the Rfam family "Bacterial large subunit ribosomal RNA". Lineage: Bacteria; Pseudomonadati; Pseudomonadota; Gammaproteobacteria; Enterobacterales; Enterobacteriaceae. The record is from RNAcentral.
AGCGUACACGGUGGAUGCCCUGGCAGUCAGAGGCGAUGAAGGACGUGCUAAUCUGCGAUAAGCGUCGGUAAGGUGAUAUGAACCGUUAUAACCGGCGAUUUCCGAAUGGGGAAACCCAGUGUGUUUCGACACACUAUCAUUAACUGAAUCCAUAGGUUAAUGAGGCGAACCGGGGGAACUGAAACAUCUAAGUACCCCGAGGAAAAGAAAUCAACCGAGAUUCCCCCAGUAGCGGCGAGCGAACGGGGAGCAGCCCAGAGCCUGAAUCAGUAUGUGUGUUAGUGGAAGCGUCUGGAAAGGCGCGCGAUACAGGGUGACAGCCCCGUACACAAAAAUGCACAUGCUGUGAGCUCGAUGAGUAGGGCGGGACACGUGGUAUCCUGUCUGAAUAUGGGGGGACCAUCCUCCAAGGCUAAAUACUCCUGACUGACCGAUAGUGAACCAGUACCGUGAGGGAAAGGCGAAAAGAACCCCGGCGAGGGGAGUGAAAAAGAACCUGAAACCGUGUACGUACAAGCAGUGGGAGCACGCUUAGGCGUGUGACUGCGUACCUUUUGUAUAAUGGGUCAGCGACUUAUAUUCUGUAGCAAGGUUAACCGAAUAGGGGAGCCGAAGGGAAACCGAGUCUUAACUGGGCGUUAAGUUGCAGGGUAUAGACCCGAAACCCGGUGAUCUAGCCAUGGGCAGGUUGAAGGUUGGGUAACACUAACUGGAGGACCGAACCGACUAAUGUUGAAAAAUUAGCGGAUGACUUGUGGCUGGGGGUGAAAGGCCAAUCAAACCGGGAGAUAGCUGGUUCUCCCCGAAAGCUAUUUAGGUAGCGCCUCGUGAAUUCAUCUCCGGGGGUAGAGCACUGUUUCGGCAAGGGGGUCAUCCCGACUUACCAACCCGAUGCAAACUGCGAAUACCGGAGAAUGUUAUCACGGGAGACACACGGCGGGUGCUAACGUCCGUCGUGAAGAGGGAAACAACCCAGACCGCCAGCUAAGGUCCCAAAGUCAUGGUUAAGUGGGAAACGAUGUGGGAAGGCCCAGACAGCCAGGAUGUUGGCUUAGAAGCAGCCAUCAUUUAAAGAAAGCGUAAUAGCUCACUGGUCGAGUCGGCCUGCGCGGAAGAUGUAACGGGGCUAAACCAUGCACCGAAGCUGCGGCAGCGACGCUGAUGCGUUGUUGGGUAGGGGAGCGUUCUGUAAGCCUGUGAAGGUGUGCUGUGAGGCAUGCUGGAGGUAUCAGAAGUGCGAAUGCUGACAUAAGUAACGAUAAAGCGGGUGAAAAGCCCGCUCGCCGGAAGACCAAGGGUUCCUGUCCAACGUUAAUCGGGGCAGGGUGAGUCGACCCCUAAGGCGAGGCCGAAAGGCGUAGUCGAUGGGAAACAGGUUAAUAUUCCUGUACUUGGUGUUACUGCGAAGGGGGGACGGAGAAGGCUAUGUUGGCCGGGCGACGGUUGUCCCGGUUUAAGCGUGUAGGCUGGUUUUCCAGGCAAAUCCGGAAAAUCAAGGCUGAGGCGUGAUGACGAGGCACUACGGUGCUGAAGCAACAAAUGCCCUGCUUCCAGGAAAAGCCUCUAAGCAUCAGGUAACAUCAAAUCGUACCCCAAACCGACACAGGUGGUCAGGUAGAGAAUACCAAGGCGCUUGAGAGAACUCGGGUGAAGGAACUAGGCAAAAUGGUGCCGUAACUUCGGGAGAAGGCACGCUGAUAUGUAGGUGAAGUCCCUCGCGGAUGGAGCUGAAAUCAGUCGAAGAUACCAGCUGGCUGCAACUGUUUAUUAAAAACACAGCACUGUGCAAACACGAAAGUGGACGUAUACGGUGUGACGCCUGCCCGGUGCCGGAAGGUUAAUUGAUGGGGUUAGCGCAAGCGAAGCUCUUGAUCGAAGCCCCGGUAAACGGCGGCCGUAACUAUAACGGUCCUAAGGUAGCGAAAUUCCUUGUCGGGUAAGUUCCGACCUGCACGAAUGGCGUAAUGAUGGCCAGGCUGUCUCCACCCGAGACUCAGUGAAAUUGAACUCGCUGUGAAGAUGCAGUGUACCCGCGGCAAGACGGAAAGACCCCGUGAACCUUUACUAUAGCUUGACACUGAACAUUGAGCCUUGAUGUGUAGGAUAGGUGGGAGGCUUUGAAGUGUGGACGCCAGUCUGCAUGGAGCCGACCUUGAAAUACCACCCUUUAAUGUUUGAUGUUCUAACGUUGACCCGUAAUCCGGGUUGCGGACAGUGUCUGGUGGGUAGUUUGACUGGGGCGGUCUCCUCCUAAAGAGUAACGGAGGAGCACGAAGGUUGGCUAAUCCUGGUCGGACAUCAGGAGGUUAGUGCAAUGGCAUAAGCCAGCUUGACUGCGAGCGUGACGGCGCGAGCAGGUGCGAAAGCAGGUCAUAGUGAUCCGGUGGUUCUGAAUGGAAGGGCCAUCGCUCAACGGAUAAAAGGUACUCCGGGGAUAACAGGCUGAUACCGCCCAAGAGUUCAUAUCGACGGCGGUGUUUGGCACCUCGAUGUCGGCUCAUCACAUCCUGGGGCUGAAGUAGGUCCCAAGGGUAUGGCUGUUCGCCAUUUAAAGUGGUACGCGAGCUGGGUUUAGAACGUCGUGAGACAGUUCGGUCCCUAUCUGCCGUGGGCGCUGGAGAACUGAGGGGGGCUGCUCCUAGUACGAGAGGACCGGAGUGGACGCAUCACUGGUGUUCGGGUUGUCAUGCCAAUGGCACUGCCCGGUAGCUAAAUGCGGAAGAGAUAAGUGCUGAAAGCAUCUAAGCACGAAACUUGCCCCGAGAUGAGUUCUCCCUGACUCCUUGA